RNAcentral lists this ribosomal RNA (255 nucleotides) under uncultured bacterium. RNAcentral's name for it is "partial 16S ribosomal RNA". It matches the Rfam family "Bacterial small subunit ribosomal RNA", at positions 524 to 776 of the family's 1533-position model. The record is from RNAcentral.
UACGUAGGGUGCGAGCGUUGUCCGGAAUUAUUGGGCGUAAAGGGCUCGUAGGCGGUUUGUCGCGUCGGGAGUGAAAACCCAGGGCUUAACUCUGGGCUUGCUUUCGAUACGGGCAGACUAGAGGUAUGCAGGGGAGAACGGAAUUCCUGGUGUAGCGGUGAAAUGCGGCAGAUAUCAGGAGGAACACCGGUGGCGAAGGCGGUUCUCUGGGCAUCGACCUGACGCUGAGGAGCGAAAGUGUGGGGAGCGAACAGG